GUUAGAGUUUGAUCAAUGGCUCAGGAUGAACGCUGGCGGCGUGCCUAAUACAUGCAAGUCGAGCGAACUGAUUAGAAGCUUGCUUCUAUGACGUUAGCGGCGGACGGGUGAGUAACACGUGGGCAACCUGCCUGUAAGACUGGGAUAACUUCGGGAAACCGAAGCUAAUACCGGAUAGGAUCUUCUCCUUCAUGGGAGAUGAUUGAAAGAUGGUUUCGGCUAUCACUUACAGAUGGGCCCGCGGUGCAUUAGCUAGUUGGUGAGGUAACGGCUCACCAAGGCAACGAUGCAUAGCCGACCUGAGAGGGUGAUCGGCCACACUGGGACUGAGACACGGCCCAGACUCCUACGGGAGGCAGCAGUAGGGAAUCUUCCGCAAUGGACGAAAGUCUGACGGAGCAACGCCGCGUGAGUGAUGAAGGCUUUCGGGUCGUAAAACUCUGUUGUUAGGGAAGAACAAGUACGAGAGUAACUGCUCGUACCUUGACGGUACCUAACCAGAAAGCCACGGCUAACUACGUGCCAGCAGCCGCGGUAAUACGUAGGUGGCAAGCGUUAUCCGGAAUUAUUGGGCGUAAAGCGCGCGCAGGCGGUUUCUUAAGUCUGAUGUGAAAGCCCACGGCUCAACCGUGGAGGGUCAUUGGAAACUGGGGAACUUGAGUGCAGAAGAGAAAAGCGGAAUUCCACGUGUAGCGGUGAAAUGCGUAGAGAUGUGGAGGAACACCAGUGGCGAAGGCGGCUUUUUGGUCUGUAACUGACGCUGAGGCGCGAAAGCGUGGGGAGCAAACAGGAUUAGAUACCCUGGUAGUCCACGCCGUAAACGAUGAGUGCUAAGUGUUAGAGGGUUUCCGCCCUUUAGUGCUGCAGCUAACGCAUUAAGCACUCCGCCUGGGGAGUACGGUCGCAAGACUGAAACUCAAAGGAAUUGACGGGGGCCCGCACAAGCGGUGGAGCAUGUGGUUUAAUUCGAAGCAACGCGAAGAACCUUACCAGGUCUUGACAUCCUCUGACAACUCUAGAGAUAGAGCGUUCCCCUUCGGGGGACAGAGUGACAGGUGGUGCAUGGUUGUCGUCAGCUCGUGUCGUGAGAUGUUGGGUUAAGUCCCGCAACGAGCGCAACCCUUGAUCUUAGUUGCCAGCAUUUAGUUGGGCACUCUAAGGUGACUGCCGGUGACAAACCCGGAGGAAGGUGGGGAUGACGUCAAAUCAUCAUGCCCCUUAUGACCUGGGCUACACACGUGCUACAAUGGAUGGGUACAAAGGGCUGCAAGACCGCGAGGUCAAGCCCAAUCCCAUAAAACCAUUUCUCAGUUCGGGAUUGUAGGCUGCAACUCGCCUACAUGAAGCUGGAAUCGCUAGUAAUCGCGGAUCAGCAUGCCGCGGUGAAUACCGUUCCCGGGCCCUUGUACACACCGCCCGUUCACACCACGAGAGGUUUGUAACACCCGAAGUCGGUGGAGUAACCGUAAGGAGCUAGCCGCCUAAGGUGGGACAAGAUGUAUUGGGGGUGAAGUCGUAACC
This 1521-nucleotide ribosomal RNA is filed under the name Priestia megaterium. RNAcentral's name for it is "bacterial SSU rRNA". It matches the Rfam family "Bacterial small subunit ribosomal RNA". Lineage: Bacteria; Bacillati; Bacillota; Bacilli; Caryophanales; Bacillaceae. The record is from RNAcentral.